Molecule: long non-coding RNA, 6968 nt
Filed under: Daucus carota (carrot)
Lineage: Eukaryota; Viridiplantae; Streptophyta; Magnoliopsida; Apiales; Apiaceae
Description: long non-coding RNA (DCAR_LNC003990)
Source: RNAcentral
GCUUAAUUUGAUAAAAUUUGCACUUGUCUUUUAUCAAAUUAAUAUAUUUUUGACUAUUUUUUUUUACUCCAAAUUCAUUUGUUUUGAUAAAUAAAUUUUAUAAUGGAGUAUCAAUCAUCAGGUGUAGAAUAUCUUAUUGGUAUCAUAGUAUGUAAGCAAUUAAAAAGUGCUUCUACUUAUUUACACAAACGGUUCAAGAAAAGCAGAAGCCAGAAGCAACUCCGACUUCUGCUAACCAAACAGGCACAUAGUAAAGUUCUGUUAAGACCACUUUUUAUCGGAGACCUCGGAGAACAUGCAUGUUUUGCAAAUAAAACAUUGCAAAACUUAUAAUUUUGCAAAUCAUAUUCAAUGAAAAUCAUUUUUUAAUUAAAAAUCUUGAAAAAUCAUACUCCUUCAGUUCCACCCAAAUGAUUAUAUUUGGGUGGGGCAUAGAGAUUAAGAAAAUAUGUAAAGUAAGAGUAUGAAAGAAAGAAAAGUGAGGAUAGUGAUGAAACCAUUUGAUAUUUAAUACAUAAAGUAAGGAUAGUGGUGAAAAGUAGUGGGGGUAGUUGAUUUUUAUAUUAUAAAAUUUUACUAUACUUAAUAAAUUUUGAAAUAUAGAAUGGAUGGGACAUCCCAAAAAGGAAAGUGUAAAUAAAUGGUUGAGACGGAGGGAGUAUAUGUAUUGCGAGGAAGACAUUGCAAGACUGGACAUUGCAAAACAUAGGUUGUGCAAAAGAAUGUCUGGCUUGCAAAACGUACAUUAUUUUUUGGAUUUUCAAUGAAAUAGCACUAUUCAAAUAACAUACUUUAUAAAAUAUAAUGUUGUUAAUGUUUUGGUGCAGAACAUGCAUCGUUUCCGAGGAUUCUGAUAAAAAGUGAUUUUGGAGGUCUCCGAUAAAAAGUGGUCUUCAUAGAACUUUACUCUCUAUAUCACAAACCUCCUUAAAAUACAAUAUAAAAACUAAAAAAAAUCUUAAAAUUAUAUUUAAAUAUAGCAAAAAUUGUAUUUAAAUCGUUAGGAGAUGUAGAAUAAUUAUAGUGAAGUCAGAUUGACAUGAAAAUUCAAAUUAAAAAUGGAGGGGAUUAUGUGGGAUCAUGUGUGGGAGGAUGAAUUUUAAUUGUGUGUGGUGACUUCUAGAAGGCUUGUAGUUUGUACAGUAAUUUGGUUAACUACACAACUAAAAACCUUCUUAAAAUAAAAACUAAAAUAAAAAAAAUUCUGAAUCACAUCGAAAUAGCACAUAUGAUAUGCAACUGAAAGUUGGGAGAUGAAUAAAAAUACCAUUAAGUCAGAUUUCUAAAAAACUCACCGUUGACGAGAAAAAUCAAAAUAGAAACGGAUGAGAUUAUGUGGGUUAUGUGUGGGAGAGCGUAUUUUAAUUGUGUGGAGCGUAUUUUAAUUGUGUGGUGACUUCUAGGGGCCAUUAGAUUAGAUUCGUCCAAGGGCUUGGAUUAAAUUUAUUUAAAGGCUUAGAAUAAGUUUGUACAAUAAUUUGGUUUGUAUUUGAGCAAUUGCUUAUAUAUAUAUAUUUGGUUUUUAAUGUUCUUGGUCACCAAGAGGACUGAAAUUCAGAAAGAAAAAAAAAACGAACUGGGCCUGAAUUGUGAAAGCCCUGAACCAGGACCGAAAUUUGGGUUCGCUUCUCGGUGAAUUGGGAAAUUCUAAUAUGGUCAAUUGAUGGAAUGAUUAUUCUUCUGUUUCCGAACAGGAUUUUUUUAUCGAUACAACCCUUCUGUUUCAACAACUCCCCAAGUUGUGAUCCCCCCGCCCCGCCCCUCCCCUCCCCUCCAAAAGGUGAUUUUAGUAAUUACCAAGUAUAAGUUAUUGUCCAGCAGUAUCUCGACCCAAUAUUAGGCAUCUUGCCCGGUGGAAAAGCUACAUCUAGUUCCGAACCAGCGAUUUGGUUGAUAUCCAGUGUUGUUUUUCAAGCGUGGAAGUCACCUAAUUAGAAGUUGUCAAAAUUUUAUAGCGAUCAGAGCUAACCACAAGGUAUUCUUUUCUCUCAGAUUUGCAAUUACAUAUGAAUUUGUUUAAAUUGUAAUGAUCCUCUCAUUUUUAGGAAGUAAGGGUAAAAUUGAAAUUACAUUUUCGAAUUUAGUGGUUUCAACGAGACCCUGCUGUCUACUAGCCAUCAAUUCUUCUGGGCAUAUCCCCUUGUACUCAAAUCUUGUGAGUGAUCCACAUUUUAUACGGGUAUACUUUGUUUAAGAUACAAUUUAACUGCAAAUUUUACUUAUGUAUCAAGUUCGGAGUUCGGUGCAUUUAAUAGUUUUAAUUUAGUGUCUACUAUCUACCUUAUGUGAUUCUGAUAUGUAUGUAUGAUACUUGCACAAAAUUUUCUUCAAAUUUGGUAUUCUAUCUUGAUGAGCUUUUGCCUAUGCAAGUUACAAGUAUCAUUGUUUUACGCAAAUUAAGCUAUUAAUACUUUCUAAUCGAUAGCUUCAGGAUCACAAAUCUCUUAGAUUUUAGUACCUUCAAAAGGAAACUUUUUCUCUGGGGUUAAGCAUCAAUCUCAUGAUUAAUUACGUCCAAAUAUAUGAGAUUGGUCACCAUUUGCAAACAUUACCUAAUAUAAUCCUUAACUUCUUUUAUUUGUACAAGUCGUUUAAGUCGACUGGAAUUAAAAUUUUGAAGGAUUGAACAAAUCUACAAGUUUCAAGCUCGACCUCUCAAAUCCGUAUCUUACAGAUCUAGAGGAAAAAGUCUAUGUUUCUCCACCACAUCUUAUCUCAUUUUCAAGCAGUUCAACACAUGCCUCUGAUUUACAUAUCCAUAUGUUAGGGUUUACAUCUGAUAAGUGCAGUUUAAUUCAGUUAUUUGUGGUUGUAGUUGUUUAGGUUUCUAGUGCCUAUGUUAUUUAUAUAUAUUCUAGAAAUUGUUGUAGGUGUAUUACUUUUUGCAGUUGAAAGGAUGGAGAUGACGAAGUGUGUGUGUGUGUGUGUGUUUUAUUAUUUUUUUCUUUUUGCAAUCGAAGCCAUGUAAUUGCUACGUCAUUAUGUGACUUUUAAAUCACUGCCGUGUCAGUCGCCUGACAUGUUGGUUUGGGCAUUGAAAAUUCAACUGACUCUUGACCGGUUUGUGCAAAUUAAAGAAGUCGGUGACUGGACUGAGUCAUAUUUGUGAAAAGUGAUGAAAUUGGUAGAAUCGUAUGAAAUGAAUACCAGAUAACUCAGGGUAUUAUUAUGGGUAGGGGGUGUGAUUAUUGAUUGCCAUGACCAUUAUUCAUGAGGGAGGAGAUAUGAGUCUUGCCACUAGGCAAUCAACAAAACCUUGAAUAUGCAAUUUUUUUAGUCCAACUAAUUUCAAAAACCCAGUCAUGUUAUAUGCUGAUAUCAUUACUCUCUCAACCUUCAGUGCGGUGAUUGUUGCUUGAAAUUCACUUGGUUUCUUUAAUUGACUUGUACUCUGCUAUGUUAUGUUCUGUAAUAAUUUAUAAUUUUACUUAAAGAUACAGCUUCAACUGCAGAACUAAUUAUGACAUUAUAGUAUUAGCAACAAGCCUUUUGUUUGAUUGGCAGUUAUUUGGGGUAAGUGCAUGAUUAGGUUGCCAUGUCUUGUUACAGGUUAUUAGGGUACUUAAGAUGGAUCCUGAAAUAAAUCUGCAAGAUCUUCACCCAAAAAAGAGAUGGAGGAGUGAGUUGUAUGCUCAAUUUGUUCUUGCCUGGCAGAACAAUAAUCAGUUACCUGCUGAAGGCACUCCAGAAAAAAAUGUUAAUAGCUUGGAUGACAAUCAUCAGCUGGCUGUUUAUACUCCUGCUGACGCUUCUGCUUCUGAUGGAACUGUUACUCAACCUCCACAGAACCAGGCCGGUCGGAUUGCGCCAUCUGUGGAAGCUUACACUGUCCAGUGUUCACUCUGUUAUAAGUGGAGGCUUAUUCCUUCGAAGGAGAAAUUCGAGGAAAUCCGUGAACACUUAAUAGAGCAGCCUUUUGUAUGCAGAGCACUUUAUCAGUGGCGUCCUCAGAUAUCUUGCACUGUUAAAACUGAUCUUCAACCAGAUGGUAGCAAGUUAUGGGCAAUUGAAACGCCCAACAUUCCUCGACCCCCUCCUAGGUGGAAGCGCAUUUUGAAGAUCAGGGCUUCCCAAGGAACCAGAUUUGCAGAUGUGUACGUAUUACUCUACAUUUUUUUUUUAAAUAUGGUUUAGUCUUAAUAUCUGCUGCUUCGUUUCAGUUUAAAAGUUGAGCUUUUCUUUACUUUCAGGUAUUAUUAUACACCAUCGAACAAGAGACUGCGGUCCACAACUGAAGUUCAAAGGUACUCUUGUCUCUUAGGUUUGUUUUCAGUUGAGCAGAGCGUUCAAAAACUUGCAAAUCUUUAUGUUUGGUUUAAAUGAUAAUAUUGAUGAAGUGGUCCAAAAAUUAUAGAGUAAAGUGACAUAAGGUCCUUCUACCAUAAAACAUGGCCGGCGCACCAACUUGACCUCUUCUCUGUAGUGUUUUCGAUAUUUUUCAAACAUUAUUUAGAUUCUGUUUGUAUUUGGGCAUAUUUUUAAGAAUGUAAAUGUUUGCUCUAUAUUAACCUAUCGUCAUGCAAAUUUCGCAAACUAUUGUUAUGCCAAUGGGCGCUCAGAUAUAGAUGGUUUGCUUCCCUUCAUGUUAUAGUACAAUAUGUUUAAACAGUUGAACAACGUUGUGUUCUUGGCUUGAGUCCAGCACUGACAGUGCCUAUUUGCAAUAUUCCAUAUGGGAUUACCAUUCACAGGUAUUUGCGUGAACAUCCCAAUGAGGCGGAUGGAGUUGACUUGGGCCAAUUUUCUUUUAAAAUCCCACUGUUGGUGAAGGAGAAGUCCUUGGAAGAACAUACCACCCGUGUUUUACAAGACGGUCGCAAACGCCGCAGGAUGCCUUGAAAUGGAGGAAGAAAGGAGUGAUCUGUAUCCAAUCUGGAUAUGAAUAUUGAAAUGGGCUACAUAGAGUUGGUACUUUAGUCGUGUGACAUUUGAGUGAUUGUUGAAGACUUGGCAACUGCUUUUGAUGUAAUGACAUGUAAACUGUUAGUCUCCUUGUGAAUUCAAGAGUAGAGCCAUUUUCAUUUUAUCCAAUCGACUUUCUAGUUAGUAAUUACUAUAAUUUUGUAUAAUAGAAUAUACAGAUAUAAAACCAUUUCUUUACAUAAAAUGCUAUGGGCGUCAUGUGUUUUGUGAGAGGAGUUGUUGGGGCUUGUUUCAUAUUUACCAUGACAUUUCAGCCCAAUUUUAAGAGACUUUAUUGGUGGGUUUGGUUUAACAAAUGAUGAGUAUCAGUAUUGGUUUGCUCCCUUGUGUAUUAGACCAUAUAUAUGGUGCAUUUUGCAUAGGUCAAAAGUCAAGUUUAGCUUUUUUCUCAAAAGGCUGGCUGGCAUGAAGCUUGAUCUUAGUGAAAGUAUGAUCAAGCAGCUUACCCUUCUCGGAAUUGGCCACCAUAAUUGGUUCUACCCAAUUGGAAAACUGUUUGGGAACCCAAGGCAGCUUGUUCAAGAGAAGGGGUUUCCAGAACUCCUCGUGAUUGGUGCUUUUUAGAUCAUUACCUCCUGGAAGUCAGAGUGCGGAUACAUUUCUAGCACUGAAAGACGUGGGACGACAUCAUAUUGCAGGUAUACUACUAAUGCUGGAAAUUGUUAUUGGUUUUUUUUUCUUGCAGUACUAUUAAUACUUGUAGUUUAGCCGUAGUAAGUUAUCUUGUUCUAAAGGAUCAGCACAAGGGAAAAUUUCUGGUCUAACAAACAUAUCAUCACAUCCUAGUUGCAUCAUUAACGCAGCAUCUGUUGGAGUCACAAUGCCUCCAGUAGCAGCAUGCACAACAGGAAACCUUCCCCAUUUGCCUAGUCUGGGCUUACUAUGCAUUAGAAUCUCCAAUUUCCUUGAAAAGUGUGAAAAACUUUAUCUUCAUCCAUAUCGAUAAAAAUUAAAACCUAUGUUACUUGAACUCAUCUCCGUCCUAUUUUUGGACAUGGGCAUCGGGAAUGGUAACGAUGCACUAAUAAACAAGUAGGGUAAAAAUUAUUCAUUAAAAUCAUAUAACCAAAAAACUCACAUCUAACAUGUAUUAUGAGAGACUUUGCGAUUUAGGUGUUUUAAGGUUUUCUCAUCCCAUCUUCUCAUCCUUCUCUUUUGCAUCCUAAUUAGCACUUAGCAGCAAUGUCGAUGCUGUUGUUUUAUGCAGUUAUGGAUUAAAGUGUGAUAAUUUUUGUAAAUACAAGCCUGAUUAUUUCCCUAUUAUAUGUGAAGUUAUUAUAACAAAUGCUUUCAAAUUAAAAACCAUAUAGUUUUCUGGUUAAAAAAUGAUUUACAUUUAUAAAUAUAUCAUCUGAGCCUAGAGAACAGAGGGAAGUUAUUUUUAUUAUAGGUUAAAGUGACUAGUGUUCACCAAAUCUGGUAGAUGAAGAAUGAAAAUAUAGACUUUGCAGACUUGUAAUCUAGUACAAUUGAUGGAAUUGUGAUACUUUCGAUGAAUUUACACUUGUUAAUCAGGAUUAGUCUGUCAUGUGUAUGUCAGUAUGUGGCUGUUUAGGUUUGCUUAUUUGGAAAAGACAAGCACAAUUCUCCCGCAUAAAAAGUACCUAGUUGUGUUGUGUACAUGUGCCUGUUAGGUUUAGCUUAAUUUGAUAAAAUUUGCACUUGUCUUUUAUCAAAUUAAUAUAUUUUUGACUAUUUUUUUUUACUCCAAAUUCAUUUGUUUUGAUAAAUAAAUUUUAUAAUGGAGUAUCAAUCAUCAGGUGUAGAAUAUCUUAUUGGUAUCAUAGUAUGUAAGCAAUUAAAAAGUGCUUCUACUUAUUUACACAAACGGUUCAAGAAAAGCAGAAGCCAGAAGCAACUCCGACUUCUGCUAACCAAACAGGCACAUAGUAAAGUUCUGUUAAGACCACUUUUUAUCGGAGACCUCGGAGAACAUGCAUGUUUUGCAAAUAAAACAUUGCAAAACUUAUAAUUUUGCAAAUCAUAUUCAAUGAAAAUCAUUUUUUAAUUAAAAAUCUUGAAAAAUCAUACUCCUUCAGUUCCAC